Molecule: long non-coding RNA, 776 nt
Organism: Carassius auratus (goldfish)
Lineage: Eukaryota; Metazoa; Chordata; Actinopteri; Cypriniformes; Cyprinidae
Exons: 3
Source: RefSeq, a predicted model, not a curated record
AAGAAGAAACUCCUCUUUUUUUUUCUACUUGAGCUCAACGGCUGCAGUCCUGGAUUCAGUGAGAGCUAAGGAACAAAUAACUUUCAGCAGAAACCGUGAACUAAGAGUCCUCAAAUCUUUCGGACGCAGCUGCAGCGAUCUUCUGAGGAGAGGGGAGCAGUUCAUGGUAUUUCUCAUCUUUAAACAACAGGAAAACACACUUUACACUCGUGCUGUGGGCAGAGUGGAUAAAGACACAUGCCUUUGGUGUGAGAGACACGGGUUCGAAUCCACUGUGAGACACCAAUGUGUCCCUGAGCAAGACACUUAACCCCUAGUUGCUCCAGAGGCGUGUGACAUCUGACAUGUAUAGCAAUUUAGUGACUACGUUUUGAUGAAAAGCAGGAAUAUUUGGAGGAGUAUCAUCUGAACUGAGAUCUGCUGCUGUGAAGAUGAUGUUUGUUAAAGAGGAGAGUAAAGAGAACACGAGUGAACCAGAAACCUGGAGAAUAAAACACGAGGAGCCAGAAACCUGGAGAAUAAAACCAGAGGAGCCAGAAACCCGGCGAAUAAAACCAGAGGAGCCAGAAACCCGGAGAAUAAACCAAGAGGAGCCAGAGACCCCGGAAAUAAAACCCAAGGAGCCAGAAACCUGGAGAAUGAAACCCGAGGAGCCAGAAACCCGGCGAAUAAAACCCGAAGAGCAAGAAACCCGGAGAAUAAGCCACGAGGAGCCAGAAACCUGGAGAAUAAACCGUGAGGAGCCAGAAACCUGGAGAAUAAACCGUGAGGAGCCA